CUCAAUUACUGCGACAUAGUCAUACAGCAAAUGUUGUGUAAAUUGAGUCCAAUGUUAACUGUAAGACUGUGUCUUGGUUUUUGAG
Lucilia cuprina (Australian sheep blowfly) is the source of this 85-nucleotide microRNA precursor. It matches the Rfam family "mir-999 microRNA precursor family". Lineage: Eukaryota; Metazoa; Arthropoda; Insecta; Diptera; Calliphoridae. The record is from Rfam.